Molecule: ribosomal RNA, 498 nt
Filed under: uncultured bacterium
Lineage: Bacteria
Description: partial 16S ribosomal RNA
Rfam family: Bacterial small subunit ribosomal RNA
Source: RNAcentral
AUUGAACGCUGGCGGCAUGCCUUACACAUGCAAGUCGAACGGUAACAGGUCUUCGGAUGCUGACGAGUGGCGAACGGGUGAGUAAUACAUCGGAACGUGCCUAGUAGUGGGGGAUAACUACUCGAAAGAGUGGCUAAUACCGCAUGAGAUCUACGGAUGAAAGCAGGGGAUCGCAAGACCUUGUGCUACUAGAGCGGCCGAUGGCAGAUUAGGCAGUUGGUGGGAUAAAAGCUUACCAGGCCGACGAUCUGUAGCUGGUCUGAGAGGACGAUCAGCCACACUGGGAAUGAGACACGGCCCAGACUCCUACGGGAGGCAGCAGUGGGGAAUUUUGGACAAUGGGCGAAAGCCUGAUCCAGCAAUGCCGCGUGCAGGAUGAAGGCCUUCGGGUUGUAAACUGCUUUUGUACGGAACGAAAAGCCCCGGGUUAAUACCCAGGGGUCAUGACGGUACCGUAAGAAUAAGCACCGGCUAACUACGUGCCAGCAGCCGCCGCAG